Molecule: ribosomal RNA, 331 nt
Filed under: uncultured bacterium
Lineage: Bacteria
Description: partial 16S ribosomal RNA
Rfam family: Bacterial small subunit ribosomal RNA
Source: RNAcentral
CCUACGGGUGGCAGCAGUAGGGAAUCUUCGGCAAUGGGCGAAAGCCUGACCGAGCAACGCCGCGUGAAUGAAGAAGGCCUUCGGGUUGUAAAAUUCUGUUAUAAGGGAAGAAAGGUGAGAGGAGGAAAUGACUAUCAAUUGACGGUACCGGAGGAGAAAGCCACGGCUAACUACGUGCCAGCAGCCGCGGUAAUACGUAGGUGGCAAGCUUUAUCCGGAAUUCUUGGGCGUAAAGAGCGCGCAGGUGGUUAAUUAAGUCUGAUGUGAAAGCCCACGGCUUAACCGUGGAGGGUCAUUGGAAACUUGUUGACUUGCGUGCAGCAGCGGGAAG